GAUGAAGAACGCAGCGAAAUGCGAUAAGUAAUGUGAAUUGCAGAAUUCAGUGAAUCAUCGAAUCUUUGAACGCACAUUGCGCCCCCUGGUAUUCCGGGGGGCAUGCCUGUCCGAGCGUCAUUGCUGCCCUCAAGCACGGCUUGUGUGUUGGGCCCCGCCCCCCGGCUCCCGGGGGGCGGGCCCGAAAGGCAGCGGCGGCACCGCGUCCGGUCCUCGAGCGUAUGGGGCUUCGUCACCCGCUCUUGUAGGCCCGGCCGGCGCUUGCCGACACAUCAAUCUUUUUUCCAGGUUGACCUCGGAUCAGGUAGGGAUACCCGCUGAACUUAAGCAUAUCAAUAAGCGGAGGA
Molecule: unclassified non-coding RNA, 347 nt
Filed under: soil metagenome
Description: partial contains 5.8S ribosomal RNA, internal transcribed spacer 2, and large subunit ribosomal RNA
Rfam family: 5.8S ribosomal RNA (bases 1-120)
Source: RNAcentral